GGAAUAUAAACGACUGCAACAAUGUACCGUAAAUCUAUACGGAUGCUCUUCGACUCCUUGUCGAAGUCCUUUUUGUCCCAGCCGGUAGGUCUCUAGACGUUACAGAGAACCCCGAACAACCCAAACUGUUAAUCUUCAAUACCGCUUUGUACUUACGAUCUUGUAUCCACUGACUGUCUUGUUAGAUUAACCCAAUAAAUUUCAUUCACUCCGCAUACUCAAUCCUAUAGACACCCUUUUAAUCCUUCAAUCACAGACGUAACUCGAUUUCACAAAACAGUCAAGAGUAUUCAAACCCACUUCAUUAAAAAUCCCGAUUCACCAUUACAAUACUGACUUCAGCAGUGAUUGCCUCAGUCUUCCCAAAACUCUACGAAGAAGAAAAAUCCAAAU
Molecule: long non-coding RNA, 393 nt
Filed under: Physcomitrium patens
Lineage: Eukaryota; Viridiplantae; Streptophyta; Bryopsida; Funariales; Funariaceae
Description: long non-coding RNA (PPAT_LNC012404)
Source: RNAcentral